CUGAAAAAUGUUUAUUAAUAUGUGUCAUAGGACAGAGAUUACACUAUACAGUAAUAUACCGGCUAUUGGCCGACAAUGAGUUUCCAGCUGUCUUAUAACUCUAAGCAAUUCUGAUUAUAAGGUUCCAACUGCUACCAAGAGCAGCAGACUUUAUGACGGUACAAACUAAAACAUCUCAAUACAUAUACAUGUCGUUACAGGACUGUAAAAAAAAUAUCAAUAAAAUAUACACCAUAGUAACAUUAUAACUAACUUUUACCACACUUACACAAGUCUCUGCUUUACAUCCCUAAUAUUGACCUCAUAGAUUAAAGAGAAGCCAAAUGUCAAGAGCUAUCUUAAAAGCACAAUAACAUGUUAACUUUUGCUUCAAUAAUACUAACGUGCAUUUUAUGCUGUUCAGUAAAAGGUGAAUUCAUGGGAAUUAAAAGUAAAUUCAAAGUAUAGGAAAACAGUUGAAUUGAAAACAUUCCACACGUCAGCAAUGUUUUCAGUUUGGAAAUUGUUGCUUAAAAUCUUAAAAUCACUUUGAAAUGACAUAAAAUUACAAAGAAUUUACGUUAGUAAAUAACCCUGUUUAUCAUUAUGCACCCAAUCAACCAACCAACUAGCAAUUGUGUUUACUAACUAAAAGCAGACAGUUCUUCUUAGAAAAAGGCUAGUUAUCUUUCAUUUACUCAUAUGGACGUUCUAUCUAUAAUUCCAUAGAGAUACACCUGUCCACUUGAAGGUUCACUUUGGCUCAGUUCCUAGGGGGCACUUGUCACGUGGUCUUGUAUAACCACUGGUUCCUCAGCGGUGGCCAUCCUGAAAUGUAGGCUUCAGAUGAGAUUGCAGAAAGAGCAAAUCAUCUCAGGAGGGGUACUUGCUUAUGUCACUGCUGCAGGUAAGUAUCAGGAUGUACAGCGAUGGUGACCGGGAUAACCCCCAUCAACCCAAGAAGAGGGAUACAGGACUCAUUUCAACCAGAGGAGGUCGGCCGCAACUCUCAGGCGGGCCAACGCCAGGCCGCACUUCAGAACUAUUGGAGCUUCGUAGCUGCAGAC
Pelobates cultripes (western spadefoot toad) is the source of this 1046-nucleotide non-coding RNA. Lineage: Eukaryota; Metazoa; Chordata; Amphibia; Anura; Pelobatidae. The record is from the annotation of a GenBank genome assembly.